GUCGUACAGGUCUCCGUAGGUGAACCUGCGGAGGGAUCAUUACACAAAUAUGAAGGCGGGCUGGAACCUCUCGGGGUUACAGCCUUGCUGAAUUAUUCACCCUUGUCUUUUGCGUACUUCUUGUUUCCUUGGUGGGUUCGCCCACCACUAGGACAAACAUAAACCUUUUGUAAUUGCAAUCAGCGUCAGUAACAAAUUAAUAAUUACAACUUUCAACAACGGAUCUCAUGGUUCUGGCAUCGAUGAAGAACGCAGCGAAAUGCGAUAAGUAGUGUGAAUUGCAGAAUUCAGUGAAUCAUCGAAUCUUUGAACGCACAUUGCGCCCUUUGGUAUUCCAAAGGGCAUGCCUGUUCGAGCGUCAUUUGUACCCUCAAGCUUUGCUUGGUGUUGGGCGUCUUGUCUCUAGCUUUGCUGGAGACUCGCCUUAAAGUAAUUGGCAGCCGGCCUACUGGUUUCGGAGCGCAGCACAAGUCGCACUCUCUAUCAGCAAAGGUCUAGUAUCCAUUAAGCCUUUUUUUCAACUUUUGACCUCGGAUCAGGUAGGGAUACCCGCUGAACUUAAGCAUAUC
This 569-nucleotide ribosomal RNA is filed under the name uncultured fungus. RNAcentral's name for it is "eukaryotic LSU rRNA". The stretch from base 208 to 361 matches the Rfam family "5.8S ribosomal RNA". Lineage: Eukaryota; Fungi. The record is from RNAcentral.